AGAUCAGAAACUCAUAAGACAGCAUUAAAAAGUACUAUACAGGAGGAGAUGGAAUAAGAUGGCCAAAUAGAAGCCUCUGGCAAUCAUCUCCCCCAAAGGAAUUGAACAACUAUCGAAACAAAAUUGAACAACUCUCUAAACAAAAAAAGUACCUUCAUAAAAAACAAAAAUCAGGACACAGUGUUCUGCCUCUCCUGAGUAAGCAGCAACAAGGCACAAUCUUGGAAUCAGAGGGCAGCCCUCACCAGACAACUAAAUCUGCAGACACCUUGAUCUUGGACUUCCCAGCCUCCAGAACUGUCUUUCUGGCAACUGUCUAAACAUAAACCAGGGAAGGGCAAGGCAGACUCAGGAAGGACAAAUAGAAGGCUAUUUCCAUAAAUCAGUGAUCAGAAGAACAUAUUCCAUUUCCUGAGAUGAAAAAAUCCUUAGGAAGAGAAAGUUUUAAGGAAACCAAGAGUUCCAUUAUGGACAAAAACACCACCACAUGUGCGGCAUCCCUCUGGGUCUCUUCCAUGUCAACCCUGUGGGAACCCAGCUUGGCAGGUCACCUUGUUCUAGCAGAUAGAAACUGAAUCAAUAUGGGAAGAGCCAGAAUUUGGACAAGGUUCACCAAACAUUCACACUGAUGCCAGAACUGGAGUACAGGUCCCAGCUUCCCAUACUGUGGAGUCGCCAUGCAUUGUCUGGCCAGUGAAAUGUGAGCAGAGAGAUCUGUGUAACUUACAGGCUCAGCAUGAAAUAUCAUCCAUAUGACCUUCAUAUACUUUCUCAUGCAGGUCAGCCAAAGACAGAGGCUCUCUUGAAGAUGACUCCUGGGACUCCAGAAAUGGAGGAGUCAUUAAAUGACAUAUGAAGGAGGGUCUUUUCAUAUUAAAUUGUUUUCCUGGCAGCACCUGAACCAAAGGAUAAGACUUCAAAUAAGUCUUUUUCCAAUGUUAUGCUGAAACUGGAUUCAACAUUUCUCAUAAAACUUCUAAGUCAAACAGUGAUGAGAAACUACUGCCUAAAAGUUGAUAUUAUGGAUUCCCAUAAGGAUUCAUGUCUCCUAUUCACUUUAAUGAACAGUUGUUGGGCAACAAUUCUAGAAGAGUUCCAACUCUCAUCAGGAGUAUGGACAAGGUGGAGAAGCAGAGAAAAUGCAAUGAGUAGAAUGUCUAAGUCAUCACUUUGGAAUUGACUGAACAUAAAUAAAAAUGAGAAAGAUACGUAAAAAAGAAGGGAAUGGUUGCCACAGCCCCCAUUUUGCAAACGAGGCAGCUGAGGUUCCCAGAGGCUCAAUACCAGCACCAUGGGCCGAAGCACGCAGGGCAAACACAGCCGGAGCCACCACAGCGGCCUCGAGUACGCCGACCCCGAGAAGUUCGCGGACUCGGGCCAGGACCGGGAUCCCCACCGGCUCAACUCGCAUCUCAAGCUGGGCUUCGAGGAUGUGAUCGCAGAGCCGGUGACUACGCACUCCUUUGACAAAGUGUGGAUCUGCAGCCAUGCCCUCUUUGAAAUCAGCAAAUACGUAAUGUACAAGUUCCUGACGGUGUUCCUGGCCAUUCCCCUGGCCUUCAUUGCGGGAAUUCUCUUUGCCACCCUCAGCUGUCUGCACAUCUGGCCGGCGUCAGGAGGAGGAACGCGCGUCAGUUCCCAAGCAGUAGGAAGAACUGGAAGGCCUUGAAAGGCAGUGCGCUUCCUUUAGAAUAACAGUUUGGGCUUGGAGUUUCAACAGGAGAAAGAAUGAUUUUAAUGCCUUUUGUAAAGACCUGCCUAAUGGUUCUGCCUUCAGUGCAGACAAUAUGGAAGAGUGUGACAGAUGUUAUCAUUGCUCCAUUGUGUACGAGCGUAGGACGAAGCUUCUCUUCUGUCAGCCUGCAACU
Molecule: small RNA, 1868 nt
Filed under: Pongo abelii (Sumatran orangutan)
Lineage: Eukaryota; Metazoa; Chordata; Mammalia; Primates; Hominidae
Description: processed transcript
Source: RNAcentral